This 231-nucleotide ribosomal RNA is filed under the name uncultured eukaryote. RNAcentral's name for it is "partial 18S ribosomal RNA". The record is from RNAcentral.
GGGUUCGAUUCCGGAGAGCGGUGGGCACCAAUUUGACUCAACACGCAUGGGUUCGAUUCCGGAGAGCGGUGGGCACCAAUUUGACUCAACACGCAGGGUUCGAUUCCGGAGAGCGGCGGGCACCAAUUUGACUCAACACGCAAUUCGACUCAACACGCAAUUUGACUCAACACGCAACUUGACUCAACACGCAAUUNGACUCAACACGCAAUUNGACUCAACACGCAAUNG